AGUGAGUAAUACAUCGGAACGUGCCCAAUCGUGGGGGAUAACGCAGCGAAAGCUGUGCUAAUACCGCAUAAGAUCUACGGAUGAAAGCAGGGGAUCGCAAGACCUUGCGCGAAUGGAGCGGCCGAUGGCAGAUUAGGUAGUUGGUGGGGUAAAGGCUCACCAAGCCAACGAUCUGUAGCUGGUCUGAGAGGACGACCAGCCACACUGGGACUGAGACACGGCCCAGACUCCUANGGGAGGCAGCAGUGGGGAAUUUUGGACAAUGGGCGCAAGCCUGAUCCAGCCAUGCCGCGUGCAGGAUGAAGGCCUUCGGGUUGUAAACUGCUUUUGUACGGAACGAAAAGGUUCUUUCUAAUAAAGAGAGCCCAUGACGGUACCGUAAGAAUAAGCACCGGCUAACUACGUGCCAGCAGCCGCGGUAAU
This 423-nucleotide ribosomal RNA is filed under the name uncultured Comamonadaceae bacterium. Its description in RNAcentral is "bacterial SSU rRNA". It matches the Rfam family "Bacterial small subunit ribosomal RNA", at positions 105 to 524 of the family's 1533-position model. The record is from RNAcentral. Lineage: Bacteria; Pseudomonadati; Pseudomonadota; Betaproteobacteria; Burkholderiales; Comamonadaceae.